GACGAACGCUGGCGGCGUGCUUUACACAUGCAAGUCGAACGGAAAGGCCCUGCUUUUGUGGGGUGCUCGAGUGGCGAACGGGUGAGUAACACGUGAGUAACCUGCCCUUGACUUUGGGAUAACUUCAGGAAACUGGGGCUAAUACCGGAUAGGAGCUCCUGCUGCAUGGUGGGGGUUGGAAAGUUUCGGCGGUUGGGGAUGGACUCGCGGCUUAUCAGCUUGUUGGUGGGGUAGUGGCUUACCAAGGCUUUGACGGGUAGCCGGCCUGAGAGGGUGACCGGCCACAUUGGGACUGAGAAACGGCCCAGACUCCUACGGGAGGCAGCAGUGGGGAAUAUUGCACAAUGGGCGGAAGCCUGAUGCAGCAACGCCGCGUGCGGGAUGACGGCCUUCGGGUUGUAAACCGCUUUCGCCUGUGACGAAGCGUGAGUGACGGUAAUGGGUAAAGAAGCACCGGCUAACUACGUG
RNAcentral lists this ribosomal RNA (468 nucleotides) under uncultured bacterium. RNAcentral's name for it is "partial 16S ribosomal RNA". It matches the Rfam family "Bacterial small subunit ribosomal RNA", at positions 28 to 507 of the family's 1533-position model. The record is from RNAcentral.